GCGGCGCGGGCGUAGUGGUUGCCUGGCCUGGGGGGGUCUGGCUAGUCCGCGACUUCUUCUGAGGUUCCGUAACCGAGUUUCUAAGCGUCUGAGAAGAUGUUGCAGGUUCAUUUGGAAAGUUGCCUCAGGUCGCUGUUUUAAACAUUUUGUUUUAAUUUCUAGUCCCCUGGGGCCGAGGAGGAAGGGGUCAUCAAGUCUCUCCCCCAGAGCCAGAGACCGGCCUGAACCCCCCGCCACCCAUUCUCAGCUGUUCAGGGAACCAGCCAGGUCCCCGGGAGCUUCUGGAAGAAAGUUUGAGAGGGCGGGUCCUUUUGAGUAGUAGUAUCUUGGAUUUUUGAGAGCUUGUUCGCCUUACUUGCCCAACUGGGAGGAUGAGUUGGUCCAUGGACACUCGUGGCGGAGUGAAGCUCCGUUGGACCGUGUUGGUGACCUCGUUUUGUACCUGCCCUCCAAUUUCGGCCUUUGAGCGGCUGUUAUCAAAAAAUUAAUUUAAAAAAUUUAAUUAAUGCAUUAAAGGAAGAAAAAAUAAAGGAAAAGUUAUUUCCCACCUGGAUAUAGGGAGUAGAAGUGCAGAAAUCUUUUUUAGAUUUUCUGCUUCUUGUGUACUUCAUUUGCACGUCAUUUGGUGUCCUUUGAACGUUGUGUGUCGAUUUUGGAGUUAAAAAACAAAGGCUCUGACAAGGUUUGCUCUUAAUAGCUAUUUACCUGGCUGCAAAAAAUUUUUGUAAGAAAAACUAGCUUUCUAGUCCAUUUGGAUUUUGAAAUGCCAUAAUUCAAAUUUACAUGUGUCAGAUUUUUCUUCACUCUUCUGUGAUAGAAAAAUCUGGCUGCCUUUGGUUCAGUUCUUUUUACUUAAUCCUUGAAAUUUGUAUCUUUUAAAGACUUUUUUUAAAGCAAGCUUAUAGUGUGAACAUAUAAUGUUCAACAUAAUGUGAACAUAUGUGGAGCAUUUGAAUUAGGGUUGAUGAUGGUGAAAGUAAAAACCAUCCACUGGAUGCAAAAUUAUAAAGCAUGAUACGAAUUCUCAAAUGGUUUGAGUUAGACAAGUCUUCUUCCUCUUCACUUAAUCAAAGCCUUACAUCCUUUCCUAAUAAAAGUGGGAAGUAAAUCCUGACUUCUGGAGGCAGAGCUCAAAGCAGCACACUCAGAAAUAGAAAAUUUUUUCAAAGAUUUUAUCUUAAAAAUUAGUGUGAUUUUCGUAUUUCACUCUAUUUAACAGGAAAAAACCAAACUUUGUCCCUAAAUCCUGAAGUAAAAUGGAUAUUCCAGAAAGAUAAUUCCUCUAUAUGAUUCUGUAUAUGCCCUCCCCACAUACACACACAUGCAUGCACACCCACCCUCUUUGUACCAUUUAAAAGGCAUGAAUUAUAUGUCUCAUGUUUCUUCUAAGAAAACACCAAUUGUUUCACCCAAUUUUUAAGGAUCUGUGAUGUUUAGAACUCAAAUUUUUUAGAAUUCGAGCUUAUUAGAACUCGGAUUAAACCCCUAAUUUUGCAGAUAAGGCAACUGAGGUUCAAAGAAGUUGGGAAUUGAAAUUCACGAGACUUUAAUGUGUAUAUAAGAAUAGGAUAUGAUAAAUUUAGCAUGAUUUUGCUGAAGGACUUAAAGAUUUAUGUUCAGGGAUCUGCAGAAUGCAUUUACUGAUAAUAAUGAAAUGUUGUAAAUAGCUUAAAUGCCCAACAUUGGGGAUUGAUUAAAUUACAGUAAAUCUAUGUGAGGAAUACUAUUUAGUCGUUUAAAAGCACAUAGUAGGGGCUGGCCUGAUGGUGCAAGUGCACGUGCUCCACUGCGGCAGCCCCGGGUUCGCUGGUUCGGAUCCCAGGCACGCACUGACGCACUGCUUGUCGGAGCCGUGCUGUGGUGGCGGCCCAUAUAAAGUAGAGGAAGAUGGGCAUGGAUGUUAGCUCAGGGCCAAUCUUCCUCAGCAAAAAGAGGAGGAUUGGCAUCAGAUGUUAGCUCAGGGCUGAUCUUCCUCACCAAAUAAUAAAUAAAUAAAGUAAAAGCACAUUAUAAUUAGAAGAAUACAUACCAAACUCCUAGAGAGAAGUAUAUUUAUAGGAGAAUUUUACUUUCUAAGUAACACAAAAAACGAAACACAAUUUUUGUAAUUUAAGAAAAGUUUUUAGAAGUAUAUGUUAAUAAAGACAUGGAUAUAUUUGUUACUUAGCCAACUAUCUCUUAUGCAUAUUAAUUUUCUUAGGAUGUAUCUGAUUUUUAAGUGACCAUGCUUCUAAUUAUUGUUCACGUGGCUGUGAAUGUAUUUUAACAAUCCUCCCACACUCCCCCAAAAUCAUGCUUUUCAUAUUUUAGAAGACUAUUUGAUGAUGGGGGAAAAGGUAGACAUGUAAUGACAAAAACAAGUACCAAAACAGCAUACAAGACAACCCUAAUUUUAUGUAUACAAAAUGAAUUGUACAUAAUAUAAAUAGAAUCCUAUAUAUGAUAGGUUCGGAGGAUAUAAACUAAAAUGUUAACAAUGGUUAUCUCUGUGUGAUAGAAUUACUGGAGAUAAUUAAGACAUAAAUAUACAUUUGUUAUACUCUUCUGGAUGUUCCAAACUUUCUACAGUAAAAAUCGAAUGUAUGUGUUGAGAGGCCUGGUAGGAAGGAAGACACCAAGGUAGUUUUAAUGACAAGCUGAGCAAUUACUGUUGUGAAGAAUAGGAGAUGACCUUAUAAUCUGUUUCUAUCUUUGCUCUGUAUUAUUCUACUUAUAUCACUACGAUGUGGUGUUUAUUUACUCUGUUUAUUUGGAUUUGAAGUCCAUUUUAUCGUGGUAACAUUAUGCAAGAUAGAGUGUAAAUAGUACUAAACAUGUUCUUACUGUGUGCUAUCAUUACCAAAAAAACAAGCUUAUUUCCUCCAUUAAAAAAAGUAAAUGCUCAAUUUUAAAUGCUUCAUUAUAAUAUUACCAUAUGACUAACUAUAUACUUGCAGUAUGCCAAACCUCAACCUUAUCACUAUCCUAAAAUUUAAAAUCCAAGAACUUACUAACAAAGACAUAGAAGGGAAAUAUAAUAUUAUCAAGAAGCCACAAUAUCAAUAUCUUUUUAUGAAUUCUUAAGAAUUAAGUCAACAGGAGUACUGUCAUCUUUAAAGUUUUUAUUAAAGACCAUUUCAAGAAAAGGAAUAGAAAUUAAUGAAUGAAUUUAAAAAGAUGUGCAUUAAACUUAGGCAAGUUUUGGUAUACCCUUUGCCUCAAUGUGUGGGUUUAUUUUCCCAAAUACAAAACUUCAUGUAUAAUCAAGAACUAUCUUUUUAAAGAAUCAUGAAACCACCCAUGAAUGUGAAUGCCAUCUAUUCUUAUAUUUAGUUGAUAUCUCUAGCACUUCAUUAUUCUAACUGUUGAGGAAAAAAAUGAGAAAAUGCUUGUGAUAGCAUCUUUAAACUGUGAAACACUCUACAAAUUAUUACUUAUUUCUAUGAAUAAAGCAUCAUUAUGAGUAAAUCAGUUUUAAAACACGAUAGUAAACUAAGACUAAGCUAAAUACUAACUUUCAAUAUGAAACUUUGUUGUUUAACAUUUCUAAACAGAAUUAUUAUACAGCAAUUACAAUUAGUCUCCUAGUUAAAACAUGAACUUUUUUUAACCUAACAAAGUAGUUAAAUGUUAUCAAGAUACUAAUCAUGAUGAUAAUUUUAAAUGACCAGUUAAUGCUGACGUUAGAAUCCAUGAGGAUAAAAGAAUGAGGAUACUAGUUGCAUAAUAUGGUUUUUGUUGCUGAGUAAGUAAUGUUUUGGUUUUCUUGACAUUUGAUAUUUUCGAAAUGUCAUCCUUUUCCUUUGCCCUCUUCUUCCUUCCUCCCACGGAGGCCCAGGAGACUCAUGACGUAAUCUUCAGAAAAGAACAGGAGAAAAUGUCUGGAGAGAAAAAGACCCAAUCCAGGACCUGCAUACAGAAACAGCUAGGGAGAUGGUUUCUUACGGUGGAAGGUGUUAAUAAACGAAAUUCAACUGAGUAAAUUUGAAGAUCUAAUUGACUUUGUUAAAUGAUUCAUUAAUCAGGCAGCAUCUCAUCUCACCAGCAGAAAAAUACUCUGAGGGGUUACACAAUGUGGAAGGCUUGUAUAGUAAGGAGAGUGGGACAAGGAAAGGAAGUCAUCAGCAAGGAAAACAUGAAAAUUCAUUGGAGGAAAGUGAAAGUUCAGGUGACAACAGCUUCUCAUUGGCUGAGCUGCAGCAGCUUCCAUUGGCUGGGCUUGUUGCUGGGCAAGAAGGAAGUCUUCCCGCCUCCUGCUGGAGUAGUAAAGUAGUUACAUUUCCUGUUAGGGAGUGCAAGAUCCUAUUUGAUUCCUCAUCUGGAGAUGGCACUUGGCUUUGACAUCUGUUCCUAUUGCAGGAUGGCUACAAACCAAGUUUCUUUUUUUCACGUUUUAGUUUUGCAUCAUAUAUAAAGUUGCAUACAAGGCAAGCUGUGCAAACACUAAACUCUGAAGAAAGCACAAAGUGAAGGCACUGGAACAUUUAAUAGGCUGUUUUGAAGAAUAAUCUUUGUUUAUUUUUCCAAGUUAAUGACUGAUUGAUUUGGUGGUGCUGGUUGGAUCAUCACACAUGUUGGGUUCCUGACCGUCUGUCAGAUUUUCGAAAUCAUGUAUUAAUUCAACAGAUAUUUGUAGAGCACCUGUUACGUUCCAGCCACCAUUCUAGGCACUGGGGACCCAGUUCUUGUGGAGCACAUAGUCUUAUAAGUUUUCUCACCUGGGUGUUUUUUCAUUACUCUAUGAGAUGUUAUCUACCUCUUCCCCCAUUGUUUCAGUUCAUUUGCAUCCAUUUUCCCAUGUUAGGAUCCAACAUGAUUUUGUAGACAACAUAUAGUUGGGUCUUAUCUUUUUAUCCACUCUGACAGCCUCUGUCUUUCAAUUGAUGUAUUUAGACCAUUGACCUUUAAAGUGAUUAUUGAUAUAGUUAGAUUGAUAUCUACCAUGUUUGUUACUGUUUUCAAUUCAUUGUUCUGGUACUAUGCUGCUUUUUUUGGUCUUUUCUUUUUCAGUCUUCUCUGUUGUUGUUUUUUUUUUUUGUGAGGAGCUAACAUCUGCCAAUCCUCCUCUUUUUGCUGAGGAAGACUGGCCCUGGGCUAACAUCAGUGCCCAUCUUCCUCCACUUUAUAUGGGAUGGUGCCACAGCAUGGCUUGACAAGCGGUGCAUCGGUGUGCACCCGGGAUCUGAACCUCGGGCUGCUGCAGCGGAGUGCAAGCACUUAACCGCCACUCACCUGGGCCGGCCCCUGUCUUCUCUGGUUUUAAUGGAACAUUUUAUAUAAUUCUAUUUUCUCUCCUCUCCUAGCAUAUUGUAUUCUUUUGCUAGGGCUGCCAUAAAAAAAUACCACAGACUGGGUUGCUUAAACAAUAGAAAUUUGUUUUUUCGCAGUUCUGGAGGCUACAAGUCCAAGAUCAAGGUGUUGGCAGGUUUGGUUUCUUCUGAGGCCUCUCUCUUUAGCUUGCAGAAGGCUGCCUUCUCACUGUGUCCUCACAUGGCCUUUUCUCUGUGCAUGCACAUCCCUGGUGUCUCUUUGUACAUGCAGAUUUCCUCUUCUUAUAAGGACACCAGUCAGAUUGGAUUAGGGCCCACCAUAAUAAUGGACUCAUUUUAACUUAAUCACCUCUUUAAAGGCCUUAUCUCUAAAUAUAGUCACAUUCUGAGGUACUGGGGGUUAGGGCUUCAACAUAUGAAUUUGUGGUGGACAUAAUUCAGUCCAUAACACGCAUCAAUUAUACUUCUUUUUUAACUUUUUUUGCUGGUGUCCUAGAGUUUGCAAUAUACAUUUACAACUAAUCCAAGUCCACUUUCAAAUGACAGUAUACUGCUUCAAGGGUAGUGCAAGUACCUCAUAAUAGUGUAUUCCCAGUUCCUCCAUCCUGUCCCUUAUAACAUUGCUGUUAUUCAUUUCAUUUAUCCAUAAGUGAUAAUCACCUACUAUACUGUUGCUAUUAUUAUUUUGAACAAACUAUCUGUUAGAUCAAUUAAGAAUAAGAAAAAUAAAAAAAUUUAUUUUACUCAUAUUGCUUCUCUAAGGUUUUUCCUUUCUUAUGUAGAUCUGAGUUGCUGACAUAUAAUUUCUCUUCUUUCUGAAGAACUUCUUUUAACUUAACAAACUCCCUCAAUAUCUGUUUAUCUGAGAAAGUUUUUAUGUCUCCUUCACUUUUGAAGGGUAAUUUCACUAGAUAUAGAAUUCUAAGUUGGUGGUUUUUUCUUUCAACACUUUAAAUAUUUCACUCCAUUCUCUUCUUGCUUGCGUGGUUUCUGAAGAGUAGUCCAGUGUAAUUCUUAUCGUUGUUCCACUAUAGGUAAAGUGGGUUUUUUUCCCCUGGCUUCUUUCAAGAUUUUCUCUUUGUCUUUUAUUUUCUGCAGUUUGAAUAUGAUAUACCAAGGUGUAGAUUUUUUUGUGUGUUUUAUCCUGCUUAGGGUUUUCUGAGCUUCCUGGAUUUGUGGUUUUGUGUUUGUCAUUAAUUUUUUAAAAUUCUUAGCCAUCAUUACUUCAAACCUUUUUUCUGUUCCUUUCUCUCUUUCUUCUCUUUCUGAUAUUCCUAUUAUGUAUAUGUUAUUCCUUUUGUAAUUGUCUCACAGAUCCAAUGUAACAUUCUAACAUUUUGAAAUGUCCAAAAAAUACUUUUUCUCAAGAAUAAAGGA
This is a long non-coding RNA of Diceros bicornis minor, 6626 nucleotides long. RefSeq lists it as uncharacterized. The transcript is spliced from 5 exons. NCBI's taxonomy places the organism in Eukaryota, Metazoa, Chordata, Mammalia, Perissodactyla, Rhinocerotidae. The record is from RefSeq and is a predicted model, not a curated record.